AGCGCCACCGGGUCGACCGCCCGGGUGACGGUCAGGUAGUCACGGAUCGCCGUCCCGUGCCGACCCUC
RNAcentral lists this small RNA (68 nucleotides) under Micromonospora pisi. Its description in RNAcentral is "Micromonospora sp. GUI15 ASdes TB sRNA". It matches the Rfam family "ASdes TB sRNA". Lineage: Bacteria; Bacillati; Actinomycetota; Actinomycetes; Micromonosporales; Micromonosporaceae. The record is from Rfam by way of RNAcentral.